RNAcentral lists this ribosomal RNA (527 nucleotides) under Lasiodiplodia theobromae. RNAcentral describes it as "eukaryotic LSU rRNA". The stretch from base 154 to 307 matches the Rfam family "5.8S ribosomal RNA". The record is from RNAcentral. Lineage: Eukaryota; Fungi; Ascomycota; Dothideomycetes; Botryosphaeriales; Botryosphaeriaceae.
UGCGGAAGGAUCAUUACCGAGUUUUCGAGCUUCGGCUCGACUCUCCCACCCUUUGUGAACGUACCUCUGUUGCUUUGGCGGCUUCGGCCGCCAAAGGACCUUCAAACUCCAGUCAGUAAACGCAGACGUCUGAUAAACAAGUUAAUAAACUAAAACUUUCAACAACGGAUCUCUUGGUUCUGGCAUCGAUGAAGAACGCAGCGAAAUGCGAUAAGUAAUGUGAAUUGCAGAAUUCAGUGAAUCAUCGAAUCUUUGAACGCACAUUGCGCCCCUUGGUAUUCCGGGGGGCAUGCCUGUUCGAGCGUCAUUACAACCCUCAAGCUCUGCUUGGAAUUGGGCACCGUCCUCACUGCGGACGCGCCUCAAAGACCUCGGCGGUGGCUGUUCAGCCCUCAAGCGUAGUAGAAUACACCUCGCUUUGGAGCGGUUGGCGUCGCCCGCCGGACGAACCUUCUGAACUUUUCUCAAGGUUGACCUCGGAUCAGGUAGGGAUACCCGCUGAACUUAAGCAUAUCAAUAAGCGGAGG